AAUCGAUCCCCGCUUCGAUCAGCGCCGACGCUUCAAUGAUUUGCUGCCGCCAGGUCUCGGCGCGCACGCCAAGCAAACCCUUCAGAUGCCGCAACGCUUGACGGCGCUGACGAUCGGUGUCGGCGUGGAUCAGAUCGUCGAGACCUUCGGCUUCGGUCAGAUCGAGCUUGCCGUUCUCGAACGCCCGGCGCGUGAACUCGCCCGGCUCCGCGGGACGCAAGCCGUCGAUAGAUCCAAGCGCAUCGAACAUCGCCGCA
RNAcentral lists this unclassified non-coding RNA (257 nucleotides) under Hevea brasiliensis (rubber tree). The record is from RNAcentral. Lineage: Eukaryota; Viridiplantae; Streptophyta; Magnoliopsida; Malpighiales; Euphorbiaceae.